Molecule: long non-coding RNA, 473 nt
Filed under: Gallus gallus (chicken)
Lineage: Eukaryota; Metazoa; Chordata; Aves; Galliformes; Phasianidae
Description: lncRNA (ENSGALG00010008847.1)
Source: RNAcentral
AGGAGUUCUACUUUGUCUGAGGCUUUAUUUCCAGUCUGCUGGUUUAAAUAAUAACAAAGCAUGUAGACCUCACCAAAAUCUGAAAGUUGACAUUGUGAAGCUGGAGAAAUACACGGGUAUGUUUUUACCUGAAGCCAGCAGUGGGUUUUUUUUUUUUGGUACAAAAUAAUUCCCCAGAAGAUCACUUCUGCAAGCAUGGGUAACAAGGAUGAUAUAAAUCUCUCAAAGGAAGGGAAGGAAGAGGACUUGAAACUGAAACAGUAGAUUUUUUAGGAGAAGUGACAUCAUUUCAUAGCUGAAGAAGCCAAGCAAUCGGUGGAUGUUUCAGAUCUCCUCCAGAGUAGGAGCUGGAACGAUGCAUGCCAGUUCCAUUUUGCUGAAGACCGGAGUAACUGUCUACACUUCUGAUCCUGCCAUGAGUCGUGGCAUUAUUGUACCACGUUUUCCAACCAUAAUAGAGAUGGGAGGUCUGA